RNAcentral lists this transfer RNA (71 nucleotides) under Phrynosoma platyrhinos (Desert horned lizard). Its description in RNAcentral is "tRNA-OTHER". Lineage: Eukaryota; Metazoa; Chordata; Lepidosauria; Squamata; Phrynosomatidae. The record is from RNAcentral.
GCCAGCAUGGUGUAGUGGUUUGAAUGUUGGACUAUGGCUCAGGAGACCAGGGUUCGAUCCCUGCUCAGGCA